GAUGAACGCUGGCGGCGUGCCUAAUACAUGCAAGUCGAGCGAACGGACGAGAAGCUUGCUUCUCUGAUGUUAGCGGCGGACGGGUGAGUAACACGUGGAUAACCUACCUAUAAGACUGGGAUAACUUCGGGAAACCGGAGCUAAUACCGGAUGAUAUUUUGAACCGCAUGGUUCAAAAGUGAAAGACGGUCUUGCUGUCACUUAUAGAUGGAUCCGCGCUGCAUUAGCUAGUUGGUAAGGUAACGGCUUACCAAGGCAACGAUGCGUAGCCGACCUGAGAGGGUGAUCGGCCACACUGGAACUGAGACACGGUCCAGACUCCUACGGGAGGCAGCAGUAGGGAAUCUUACGCAAUGGGCGAAAGCCUGACGGAGCAACGCCGCGUGAGUGAUGAAGGUCUUCGGAUCGUAAAACUCUGUUAUUAGGGAAGAACAUAUGUGUAAGUAACUGUGCACAUCUUGACGGUACCUAAUCAGAAAGCCACGGCUAACUACGUG
RNAcentral lists this ribosomal RNA (497 nucleotides) under uncultured bacterium. RNAcentral describes it as "partial 16S ribosomal RNA". It matches the Rfam family "Bacterial small subunit ribosomal RNA", at positions 28 to 507 of the family's 1533-position model. The record is from RNAcentral.